Long non-coding RNA from Magallana angulata, 358 nucleotides. RefSeq lists it as uncharacterized. The transcript has 3 exons. NCBI's taxonomy places the organism in Eukaryota, Metazoa, Mollusca, Bivalvia, Ostreida, Ostreidae. The record is from RefSeq and is a predicted model, not a curated record.
GAAAAGAUGACUCGACGAUAUAUUCAUACAGCUGCAGCAGUUUCCAAUCUGGGUGCCAUAAUUCUUCCUUUCCAUCAUAUGAUUUGUUUGAACAUUCGGGUUGUACAUCAAUUGGAAAUGGUUGUUUUCUUGCGGAACCAUCUUGCAAAGGUUCAGACACAACAACCAGUCUUCCAGAAACAACGAAACCAACACACGUUGAGAUUGUCACUAGGAAUUACAGUACAACAGUGUCCACUGAUGAAAAAACUAACCAAACCCUAACAUAUAAAGACUAUGUCAUCUACGAUGAAAUAUUCAUUAUGCUAAUUCUUGCUGGAGUACUUAUUCCAAUCAUUAUAUUCUGUAUCAUUUAUAG